AUCAUUUUUUGUUAAGUUAUUCCACUGCUUGGACCAUAUCCUGGCAUGGGGCAAAGAAAGCAUGGACCACUCAGAUUACCACAGCACACAACUAAUCAUUAUUAAAACAGAAGGAAAGCGAUCUGAAUGACUUAGCCACAAUGUGCGCACAUGUUACGGAUGGAUUGUAUAUGAGAAUGUACGGCUUGCAUUGCAUACUACUUCUGCAUGCUUUUUUCUUGUCUUUUUUUCCCCCCAAUUAGGGUAAGCGUGCUGGUGGGGGCUCCAAAGGCAAACACAUCCCAGCCGGGGAUCGUGGAGGCAGGGGCUGUCUACUACUGCCCUUGGCCUGGACAGACUGACAGCUGCAGACAGAUACCUUUUGACAAUGCAAUGCUCAUACUAUAUUGGCAGUUUUAGUAGACCAAGGACUAAACACUAAAGAUGUGAGAAUGGAAAGCGCGGGAGGUGCUGGAUGAUUGAUGAUAGUGGCCACGCUGGUUUUGUCUACAGUUUCACGGAGCCAUUAAAACAGAUAACCGAAUGAUAAAGGUAAACGGCACUCGGGAGCCACUGGAAUUCAAGUCUCAUCAGUGGUUUGGGGCUUCGGUCAGGACGCACAGAGAGAAAGUAGUGGCGUGUGCCCCUCUGUACCACUGGCGCACGGUGAAGCUGGGCGGGGAGCAGGACCCGGUGGGGACCUGUUAUGUGGCAGUGCAGAACUUCAGCGCCUACGCAGA
Long non-coding RNA from Boleophthalmus pectinirostris (great blue-spotted mudskipper), 719 nucleotides. RefSeq lists it as uncharacterized. Lineage: Eukaryota; Metazoa; Chordata; Actinopteri; Gobiiformes; Gobiidae. The transcript is spliced from 4 exons. The record is from RefSeq and is a predicted model, not a curated record.